GACGAACGCUGGCGGCGUGCUUAACACAUGCAAGUCGAGCGGUAAGGCCCUUUCGAGGGUACACGAGCGGCGAACGGGUGAGUAACACGUGGGUGACCUGCCCUCAGCUCUGGGAUAAGCCUGGGAAACCGGGUCUAAUACUGGAUAUGACUCCAUGACGCAUGUUGUGGGGUGGAAAGCCUUGUGCGGCUGAGGAUGGGCCCGCGGCCUAUCAGCUUGUUGGGGGGUGAUGGCCUACCAAGGCGACGACGGGUAGCCGGCCUGAGAGGGCGACCGGCCACACUGGGACUGAGACACGGCCCAGACUCCUACGGGAGGCAGCAGUGGGGAAUCUUGCGCAAUGGGCGAAAGCCUGACGCAGCGACGCCGCGUGAGGGAUGACGG
Molecule: ribosomal RNA, 384 nt
Filed under: uncultured bacterium
Lineage: Bacteria
Description: bacterial SSU rRNA
Rfam family: Bacterial small subunit ribosomal RNA
Source: RNAcentral